RNAcentral lists this ribosomal RNA (264 nucleotides) under uncultured bacterium. Its description in RNAcentral is "partial 16S ribosomal RNA". It matches the Rfam family "Bacterial small subunit ribosomal RNA", at positions 793 to 1055 of the family's 1533-position model. The record is from RNAcentral.
GUCCACGCCCUAAACGAUGUCAACUAGUUGUUGGUAGGGUUAAACCUAUUAGUAACGUAGCUAACGCGAGAAGUUGACCGCCUGGGGAGUACGGUCGCAAGAUUAAAACUCAAAGGAAUUGACGGGGACCCGCACAAGCGGUGGAUGAUGUGGAUUAAUUCGAUGCAACGCGAAAAACCUUACCUACCCUUGACAUGUCAGAAAUCCCGAAGAGAUUUGGGAGUGCCGCAAGGAAUCUGAACACAGGUGCUGCAUGGCUGUCGU